RNAcentral lists this ribosomal RNA (253 nucleotides) under uncultured bacterium. Its description in RNAcentral is "partial 16S ribosomal RNA". It matches the Rfam family "Bacterial small subunit ribosomal RNA", at positions 524 to 776 of the family's 1533-position model. The record is from RNAcentral.
UACGUAGGGUGCGAGCGUUAAUCGGAAUUACUGGGCGUAAAGCGUGCGCAGGCGGUUUUGUAAGCCAGAUGUGAAAUCCCCGGGCUUAACCUGGGAAUGGCAUUUGGGACUGCAAGGCUUGAGUGCGGCAGAGGAGACUGGAAUUCCUGGUGUAGCGGUGAAAUGCGCAGAUAUCAGGAGGAACACCGGCGGCGAAGGCGGGUCUCUGGGCCGUAACUGACGCUGAGGAGCGAAAGCGUGGGGAGCGAACAGG